RNAcentral lists this ribosomal RNA (252 nucleotides) under uncultured bacterium. Its description in RNAcentral is "partial 16S ribosomal RNA". It matches the Rfam family "Bacterial small subunit ribosomal RNA", at positions 525 to 776 of the family's 1533-position model. RNAcentral also lists the same sequence under 1 other name. The record is from RNAcentral.
ACGGAGGGUGCAAGCGUUAAUCGGAAUUACUGGGCGUAAAGCGCACGCAGGCGGUCUGUCAAGUCGGAUGUGAAAUCCCCGGGCUCAACCUGGGAACUGCAUUCGAAACUGGCAGGCUAGAGUCUUGUAGAGGGGGGUAGAAUUCCAGGUGUAGCGGUGAAAUGCGUAGAGAUCUGGAGGAAUACCGGUGGCGAAGGCGGCCCCCUGGACAAAGACUGACGCUCAGGUGCGAAAGCGUGGGGAGCAAACAGG